This is a non-coding RNA of Peromyscus maniculatus bairdii (prairie deer mouse), 710 nucleotides long. NCBI's taxonomy places the organism in Eukaryota, Metazoa, Chordata, Mammalia, Rodentia, Cricetidae. The record is from RefSeq and is a predicted model, not a curated record.
UGAUGAACAUGAUGGCAUACUGAAGAGUCUAAUUCAGAAAGAGAAUGGAGAGCGUAGAGAGACCAGAGAGUGACAGAAGAAAGCUGACUUUCAGCCUCAGUGUAAAACAUCAAGGAAGAAAUGGUCGAGAGAAUGGUGCAAUGAGUUCUGUGCAGGAAAAUGGAAGCUUCCUGGAAGAAGUGGUCUUGAGCUGAAUCUUCCAGUAAUGGGGAACAGAAAGCUGGAGUCUCUGGUAAACAACAGAACUUCCCUGCAAGUCAUGGCUCAUGAAAUUCAAGGAUUCUAGGAUAUUAAUUGUUUUGCCUCAGAGGACAGAAACUUGUAUGAUCAUGGAGAAUUCAUUUUUGAAUACAGGAGAAACAUCUUCACAGAUUCUGGAGGGUACACACCUGAGGAGUAGGUGCUAAGUAAAUUCUUAGACAGCUAUUUCAGCAAACCUACUGAGAGAGCUCAUGCACCACCACCUCUCAUCAUCUAAACAGCCUGCCUCUGCUGGCCUAGAGUCAGAAUAGCUGGCCUCUAUGAGAACUCACAUGGACCUUGGCAAACUUGCAUUGGUGGUCAUGGAUUCUGGAAACAUGGACAUUUGCCAACCUACCAGAAGUUCGUCUCUAAGCUGCCCUGCCUGCCAUUUUGAGCAAGCCCACACUCAUAACUUCUUGAGGGACUGAGUUCAAGCAUGUCAAAGAAGUGGGGAAUUUUAAGGCCCC